This 490-nucleotide ribosomal RNA is filed under the name uncultured bacterium. RNAcentral describes it as "partial 16S ribosomal RNA". It matches the Rfam family "Bacterial small subunit ribosomal RNA", at positions 29 to 505 of the family's 1533-position model. The record is from RNAcentral.
AGUGAACGCUGGCGGUAGGCCUAACACAUGCAAGUCGAGCGGCAGCACAGUAAGAGCUUGCUCUUACGGGUGGCGAGUGGCGGACGGGUGAGGAAUACAUCGGAAUCUACUUUUUCGUGGGGGAUAACGUAGGGAAACUUACGCUAAUACCGCAUACGACCUACGGGUGAAAGCAGGGGAUCUUCGGACCUUGCGCGAUUGAAUGAGCCGAUGUCGGAUUAGCUAGUUGGCGGGGUAAAGGCCCACCAAGGCGACGAUCCGUAGCUGGUCUGAGAGGAUGAUCAGCCACACUGGAACUGAGACACGGUCCAGACUCCUACGGGAGGCAGCAGUGGGGAAUAUUGGACAAUGGGCGCAAGCCUGAUCCAGCCAUACCGCGUGGGUGAAGAAGGCCUUCGGGUUGUAAAGCCCUUUUGUUGGGAAAGAAAAGCAGCAGGUUAAUACCCCGCUGUUCUGACGGUACCCAAAGAAUAAGCACCGGCUAACUUCG